AACGAACGCUGGCGGCAGGCUUAACACAUGCAAGUCGAACGCAUCGCAAGAUGAGUGGCAGACGGGUGAGUAACGCGUGGGAAUCUACCCAGUUCUACGGAACAACAGUUGGAAACUGGAAUUAAUACCGUAUACGCCCUACGGGGGAAAGAUUUAUCGGGGAUGGAUGAGCCCGCGUUGGAUUAGCUAGGUGGUGGGGGAAAGGCCUACCAAGGCGACGAUCCAUGGCUGGUCUGAGAGGAUGAUCAGCCACAUUGGGACUGAGACACGGCCCAAACUGCUAAGGGAGGCAGCAGUGGGGAAUAUUGGACAAUGGGGGCAACCCUGAUCCAGCCAUGCCGCGUGGGUGAUGAAGGCCUUAGGGUUGUAAAGCUCUUUCACCGGGGAAGAUAAUGACGGUACCCGGAGAAGAAGCCCCGGCUAACUUCGUGCCAGCCGCCGCGGUAA
This 447-nucleotide ribosomal RNA is filed under the name uncultured bacterium. RNAcentral's name for it is "partial 16S ribosomal RNA". It matches the Rfam family "Bacterial small subunit ribosomal RNA", at positions 29 to 523 of the family's 1533-position model. The record is from RNAcentral.